This 1053-nucleotide long non-coding RNA is filed under the name Lynx pardinus (Iberian lynx). Lineage: Eukaryota; Metazoa; Chordata; Mammalia; Carnivora; Felidae. The record is from RNAcentral.
UAACUGACUGAGCCACUGAGCCACCCAGGUACCCCAGAACUUUUUUUUUUAACAUUUAUUUAUUUUUGAGACGCAGAGACAGAGCGUGAGCGGGGGAGGGGCAGAGAGAAAUAGGUUGACACAGAAUCCGAAGCAGGCUCCAGGCUCCGAGCUGUCAGCACAGAGCCCUAUGUGAGGCUCAAACCCACGAACCAUGAGAUCAUGACCUGAGCCAAAGUCGGACGCUUAACCAACUGAGCCACCCAGGCGCCCCUAAGAUGUUAGAACUUUUGACUGUGUCCCAUGUAUCUCUUCCACUCUGUCCUUUUUAAAAAUCUUUUUAUUCUUUCUGUGUUCCCUUUUGGAUAUUUUCUAUUGACCUGUUUCCCUCCAAUAAUUCUGUCUCUGCCAUACAGACUGUUUGUGUCCCCUCCCCAACUAUGAAAUCCUAACUUCAUAGUUUCUACUGAAAAGUCAGAUAUUAACGUUACUGCUCCUUUGAAAAUGAUGUGUCUUUGUUUUUAAGAGUUUUUUCUUUCUGGGCGCUAGGGUGGCUCAGUUGGUUGAGCACCUGGCUUUGGCUCAGGUCAUGAUCUCGCAGUUAGUGAGCCCAAGCCCUGUGUCCCAUUGGGCCCGGUGCUAGCAGCGCGGAGCCUGUCUGGGUUUCUUGCUCUCUCUCUCUCUCUCUCUCUCUCUCUCUGCCCCUCCCCGGCUUGUGCUCUAUCAGGUGUGAAUGAAUAAACUUAAAAAACUUAAAACUUAAAAAAAAAAUAAAAACAUUAAAGUGUUUUUCUUUCUCUUUGAUUUUCAUGAGGGUACACAGAGGUCUCAUGAAUGGGAACAGUGUCUUAGAAGAGACCCCAGAGAGCUCCCUAGCGCCUUUAUGCCGAGUGAGGUUUAUAGCAAGAAGAUGGGGCUGUCCGUGAACCAGGAAGUGGGCUCUCGCCAGGCACGAAAUCUGCCAGCACCUGGAUCCUGGACUCGCAGCCUCCAGAACUGUGAGAAAUAAAUUUCUAUUGUGUUAAGCCACCCAGUCUAUGGUACUGUGUUACAGCAGCCCAAACAGACUAAGGC